Non-coding RNA from Camelina sativa (false flax), 2418 nucleotides. NCBI's taxonomy places the organism in Eukaryota, Viridiplantae, Streptophyta, Magnoliopsida, Brassicales, Brassicaceae. The record is from RefSeq and is a predicted model, not a curated record.
GCCAACGUACAAUAUUAAGAAAUACAAUCUUUGCUCAAUUGCGUGUAUCAAGUAUUCUUAAAUUGUCAAAUGAGCUUCGAGUAGUAUCUAGGUUAGUGCUGGAUGGAAAGGAACAAGUGAUCAUGUCGCUCUGUAGAUCUUAGAAUCUAUCCUUAAACUGUUUCAUUAUGCAACAAAAGCUCACAACGAAGUGUACCUCUGCCACUGUCAGCAUUUGAAUCUGACUCUCUUGUCAAUUGUCUUUUAUAGGAAGAGGAAUUGAAAGGUGCGGUGGUUCUGAUAUUUGCAAACAAGCAGGAUCUUCCUGGUGCACUCGAUGAUGCGGCUGUUACAGAAGCUUUGGAGUUACAUAAGAUAAAGAGUCGUCAAUGGGCAAUCUUCAAAACUUGUGCUGUGAAAGGCGAGGGACUUUUUGAGGGAUUGGACUGGUUGAGUAAUACGUUGAAGUCGGGCAGUGGCUAAAAUCAUCUUCAUACACCAAUUGGUCAUCCCUCAAAGAGUGUAUCUUCGAUCAUUUAUACUUAUUGGUUUGUUUAGUAUGUUUUAUCUUAGUUCGUCAUCCUAUGAGUUAAUAUCAAUGACAUGUUCACUUAAUAUUGUCUCUUUUUUGUUGUUGGUGUUUUGUUUCCUUCUAAAAAAAAAAACUCAACGAGGAUUUUUGAUUGAGACCCAUAAGGGAUACAACACCUUUUAACAUGAAAUUGAACUGAUUUUAGACGAAACACUGAUAGGCGUCCAAGUGAUGUUUUGUCGACUUGGACUAAUAAGCUCAAAUGUUGAACUGUUAAAAAGUUUGAAAAAUGUUACAUUUGUCUGCUCCUAUGGCUUCUCUUUUUGCAUAUUUGCUUGUGUUUGUAUGAAAUUCCUAAUUUGGUUAUGUUUGUAUAAAAUUCUGAAUGGAAAAAAAUCUCAUAAAAAGUUUCUUUGCAUGUGUUGAAACUUGAAAUAAGAUACGAAACAGUAUUGAAAAAAAUCUCAAGCUUGGCAUGUGUUGAAACUUGAAAUAAGAUACGAGACAGUAUUGAAAAAAAUCUCAAGCUUGGCAUGUGUUGAAAUAAAUUGCCAAUUUGAUUGAAUUUUGCAAUUCCUAUUAUAGUGAACUGUUGUUGAGUUUGCCAAAUAAAACACAUUGUUAAGUGGACUGACUAAAUUAUUGGGUUUGGUUGUUAGAUAUAUCAGUUUUGGUUAUGUAUUUAUAUAUGUACAAAUAUUUGGUUCUGUUAUCUUUCAAAAAGAAAAUUUGCUAUAAUCUAGGUUACUUUGCUCAUAGAUUACUUUAAAAGUCAAUAAAAUGACCAAAAAUGACAAAAUGGUCGGUUUGGUUUAUUUAAUUUUGAUUCUAGUGAUCGAGUACUUUUAAGUUAUCUAUAUCUGUUCUUGAUGGUCUCGUCCAGUGAAAAGCUUUUUUUUUACUUUUUUUCCCGCCCCAGUGAAAAGCUUCUAGUAAUACUAGUAAGACCAUUUUCACUGGGAGUUACUCUCACUGAUUCUUUUUGAAUUGGGUUCCAAAAUUAGAAUUAAAAAUCUAUAUUUAAGUCCAUUAAGCUGAGUAUCGAUUCUUUGGGAAGCAAUUGGAGCAACCCAUGGGAAACGGUACAUGGCGCAAUGGGAUUGGAUGAUUGAAAAAUAUAAAAGCUAAUUUUUUCUAUUUUCCCAUUUUCUUCUUCAUUUGUUCCCCGACUCUCUCUCUUUCUUCUUUCGACAGAAAAGGCGAUUACGAUGGAAACCGGAAAAUUAGUGGAUUCACCUCGAAUCCUUUGAUUUUUCCGGCUAAAACUGGAGGGUUUUGGUUGAGGAAGGCGAUGACCACUCCGAUCGGCUUAACCCGGAAGAUUCGACGAUCGACCUCCUUCUGCGACAACGACGGCGGCGGUUUCUUCUGAUGGCGUAAAGCGGACGGCGAGAUCCACUGGAAGACGAAUCGGACAGAGAAGGUUCCUAUUCGCUUGGACAUUCUAUUCGAUGGUCAGCGUUACAAAGAUGCUUCCAUCUAGAACCCUUCAGACCUGGAUAAUGAAGUCGUUGCCUCUUUGCCAAAAGAACCGUUAAAGACUUGAAACUUCCUCCAGCAUAUCUCACUCAGGUUGCCCAAUCUUCUCACGAUCACACUGACCCGUCUUGAAUUUCUCUUCUGCUCUGUAUUUUGUUGCAACCUCCUCUUCUACUUCUCAUAGAGAUGAUAAAAUCUAGUAUUUAAGGUUACCCACUUACCACUUUAGUCUUAAAUCAGUCACACGUUUCACUUAUUGUUUUACUCAAGAAGAGUUCUUUUUGUAGAUAUGUAUGUCUCUAGGAUUGAUUUUGUGAUGUAUUAUUGCUUCAGUUAUGCUCUAUUCUGUUUUUGGAACGAAUGUAAUAUAGUUUCUUCAAAUUUCUUAACUGAAAUUUAUGAUCUUAAGGGAAAUGUGCUUUUGAUGA